Molecule: non-coding RNA, 75 nt
Organism: Myotis brandtii (Brandt's bat)
Lineage: Eukaryota; Metazoa; Chordata; Mammalia; Chiroptera; Vespertilionidae
Source: Rfam
GGUGGUUCUCAGGUGACACACCCCACAAUCGGGCUCCCUCCUCUCUGGUUCCAGGUGCGUCAUCCGAGAACCCCA